Molecule: ribosomal RNA, 460 nt
Filed under: uncultured bacterium
Lineage: Bacteria
Description: partial 16S ribosomal RNA
Rfam family: Bacterial small subunit ribosomal RNA
Source: RNAcentral
CCUACGGGAGGCAGCAGUGAGGAAUAUUGGUCAAUGGGCGCGAGCCUGAACCAGCCAAGUAGCGUGAAGGAUGACUGUCCUACGGGUUGUAAACUUCUUUUAUCAAGGAAUAAAGUGAGGCACGUGUGCCUUUUUGUAUGUACUUUAUGAAUAAGGAUCGGCUAACUCCGUGCCAGCAGCCGCGGUAAUACGGAGGAUCCGAGCGUUAUCCGGAUUUAUUGGGUUUAAAGGGAGCGGAGAUGGGUUGUUAAUUCAGUUGUGAAAGUUUGCGGGUCAACCGUAAAAUUGCAAUUGAAACUGGCAGCCUUGAGUACAGUUGAGGUAGGCGGAAUUCGUGGUGUAGCGGUGAAAUGCUUAGAUAUCACGAAGAACGCCGAUUGCGAAGGCAGCUUACUAAACUGCCACUGACAUUGAUGCUCGAAAGUGUGGGUAUCAAACAGGAUUAGAUACCCUAGUAGUC